AAGAUGUGUUUGUGAAACACUAUGCGCCCGGCGGCAACAAAGUUCAAAAAAUCUAUUUUUAGCAUAUUGGUCACAGUCAAGGUCUCAAGUAUGCACACCAAAUAUGAAGUCCCUAUUUUCUAUUGUUCAAAAGUUAUGGCAAAAAGUGUAAAAAGCUAUUUUUAGCAUAUAGGUCACAGACAAGGUCACAAGAUCAUUGACCUUGUCGACGUUUGAAAGGACUUUAUUAGUGGAGUAAGUAUACCAAAUAUGAAGUCCCUAUCUCCUAUGGUUCAAAAGUUAUGACAAACAGUGGAAAAAGCUAUUUUAAGCAUAUAGGUCACAGUCAAGGUCAUUGACCUUGAUGUCAUUUGAAAGGACUUUAUUAGUGGAGUAUGCAUACCAAAUAUGAAGUCUCUAUCUCUUAUGGUUCAAAAGUUAUGGCGAAGGUUAAAAUUGACAACAGACAGAAAGACAAACAGACAAACAGAUAAACAGACAAACAGACAGGACAAAAACAAUAUACGCCCGGGAUCUAUCGA
Long non-coding RNA from Saccostrea cuccullata (small rock oyster), 521 nucleotides. RefSeq lists it as uncharacterized. The record is from RefSeq and is a predicted model, not a curated record. NCBI's taxonomy places the organism in Eukaryota, Metazoa, Mollusca, Bivalvia, Ostreida, Ostreidae. The transcript is spliced from 3 exons.